RNAcentral lists this transfer-messenger RNA (356 nucleotides) under Desulfovibrionaceae. RNAcentral's name for it is "Humidesulfovibrio sp001799475 Standard tmRNA". It matches the Rfam family "transfer-messenger RNA". Rfam says of the family: Bacterial tmRNA, also known as 10Sa RNA or SsrA, is named for its dual tRNA and mRNA-like properties. Lineage: Bacteria; Pseudomonadati; Thermodesulfobacteriota; Desulfovibrionia; Desulfovibrionales. RNAcentral also lists the same sequence under 1 other name. The record is from RNAcentral.
GGGGGCGCACCGGUUUCGACGGGGACAGUCGAUGCCGAGGUUGCAGGUCGAGGCGCCGCUGGCCUCGUAAAAAGCGGCAAGCACUCAAGUGCCAACGACUACGAUUACGCUCUGGCUGCUUAAUAACCAGUCACGAUCCUUCUGACUGACACCCGAUACGUCUGUUAGGAUCGACAAACCCCAUCGGGUCGGCGUGCUAAUGGCGUCCGCCGUAAGCACGCGGCACAAGGCGGACAUGUCGACAUGAUACCUGUUCGGGGGCACGCAUGACGACGAGAAUCAAACCCGGACUAAACCUGUAGAUACCUCGAGCAAAGCGUUCUCGGACGAGGGUUCGAUUCCCUCCGCCUCCACCA